Molecule: ribosomal RNA, 253 nt
Filed under: uncultured bacterium
Lineage: Bacteria
Description: partial 16S ribosomal RNA
Rfam family: Bacterial small subunit ribosomal RNA
Source: RNAcentral
UACGAAGGGGGCUAGCGUUGUUCGGAAUCACUGGGCGUAAAGCGCACGUAGGCGGAUCGUUAAGUCGGGGGUGAAAUCCUGGAGCUCAACUCCAGAACUGCCUUCGAUACUGGCGAUCUCGAGUCCGGAAGAGGUGAGUGGAACUCCUAGUGUAGAGGUGGAAUUCGUAGAUAUUAGGAAGAACACCAGUGGCGAAGGCGGCUCACUGGUCCGGUACUGACGCUGAGGUGCGAAAGCGUGGGGAGCAAACAGG